RNAcentral lists this ribosomal RNA (424 nucleotides) under Acinetobacter baumannii. RNAcentral describes it as "partial 23S ribosomal RNA". It matches the Rfam family "Bacterial large subunit ribosomal RNA", at positions 2525 to 2925 of the family's 2925-position model. The record is from RNAcentral. Lineage: Bacteria; Pseudomonadati; Pseudomonadota; Gammaproteobacteria; Moraxellales; Moraxellaceae.
CUCGAUGUCGGCUCAUCUCAUCCUGGGGCUGAAGCAGGUCCCAAGGGUAUGGCUGUUCGCCAUUUAAAGAGGUACGCGAGCUGGGUUUAGAACGUCGUGAGACAGUUCGGUCCCUAUCUACCGUGGGCGCUGGAAAUUUGAGAGGAUCUGCUCCUAGUACGAGAGGACCAGAGUGGACGAACCUCUGGUGUACCGGUUGUGACGCCAGUCGCAUCGCCGGGUAGCUAUGUUCGGAAGGGAUAACCGCUGAAAGCAUCUAAGCGGGAAGCCUACCUCAAGAUAAGAUUUCCCUAGGACUUUAUGUCCUCUAAAGAGCCGUUCGAGACUAGGACGUUGAUAGGUUGGAUGUGGAAGCAUAGUGAUAUGUGAAGCUGACCAAUACUAAUUGCUCGUGAGGCUUGACUAUACAACACCCAAGCAGUUG